AUGCGUUUGACUGAUACGCUUAAAAUGAAUCCUUGUGCUAAGUAUAUGAAAGAUAUUGCUACAAAUAAAAGAAAGAUACUAGAAGCUGAAAUUUUCACCAUGCUUCCCAAUUAUACUUUUAAAGGUGGAAUACCUAAGAAACUAAGAGAUCCAGGAGUACCAACUAUACCAUGCUCCAUUAAAAGAAACUAUGUUAAAACUGCUUUAUGUGAUCUUGGAGCCGGUGUUAGUGGUAUGCCUCUCUCUUUAUAUCAUAGACUUGAUUUGAAUAAGUUGACACCUACUGAAAUAUCUUUGCAAAUGACUGAUAAAUCAACUGCUAUACCUGUUGGUAUCUGUGAGAAUGUGCCUGUUGUGGUUGCAAACAUUACUAUUUUAACGGGCUUUAUUAUUCUUAAUAUUCUCGAGGACGACAAUAUGUCGAUUAUCCUUGGUAGACCCUUUUUGAAUACUGCAGGGGAUGUUAUUGAUUGCAACGAAGACAAUGCCACUUUUCAUGUUAAUGGUAAUGAGCACAUGGUACACUUUCCGAGGAAACAACCUCAAAUCCACAAUAUUAAUUCUAUUGGAAAAAUUUCAACGAUUACUAUUAGAGGUUUUGAAUUCCCUCUUCCUACUGUCAAGAAGAAAAUAUGA
This 636-nucleotide ribosomal RNA is filed under the name Triticum aestivum (bread wheat). RNAcentral describes it as "partial small subunit ribosomal RNA". Lineage: Eukaryota; Viridiplantae; Streptophyta; Magnoliopsida; Poales; Poaceae. The record is from RNAcentral.